AACGAACGCUGGCGGCAUGCCUAACACAUGCAAGUCGAACGAGACCUUCGGGUCUAGUGGCGCACGGGUGCGUAACGCGUGGGAACCUGCCCUUAGGUUCGGAAUAACUCCCCGAAAGGGGUGCUAAUACCGGAUAAUGUCUUCGGACCAAAGAUUUAUCGCCUUUGGAUGGGCCCGCGUUGGAUUAGCUAGUUGGUAGGGUAAAAGCCUACCAAGGCGACGAUCCAUAGCUGGUCUGAGAGGAUGAUCAGCCACACUGGGACUGAGACACGGCCCAGACUCCUACGGGAGGAAGCAGUGGGGAAAAUUGGAAAAGGGGCGAAAGCCUGAUCCAGCAAUGCCGGGUGAGUGAGGAAGGCCUUAGGGUUGAAAAGCUUUUUUACCCGGGAUGAUAAGGACAGUACCGGGAGAAUAAGCCCGGGCUAACCCCGG
This 432-nucleotide ribosomal RNA is filed under the name uncultured bacterium. RNAcentral describes it as "partial 16S ribosomal RNA". It matches the Rfam family "Bacterial small subunit ribosomal RNA", at positions 29 to 506 of the family's 1533-position model. The record is from RNAcentral.